GGGGAGCAGAGAUCAUAGAUAGAGGGUGGGAGGAACAGAGGGUCAUUCUUUGGGCGGAGUCGGCUGGAGAGCUCGGGGUCGUCUGGGCGGGUCCACAACGCUUUGUAGUCCCGACAGAAGCAGACGCCAAGUGAUGCGGCAUCCUCCUGGGCCCUGAAGGCCGGGAAAGGCUGCCCUCUCGCCCACGGCAGGCCCACUUCCACUGGGCUUCUUCUCUCACAAUGGGAGGUCAGCCAGGGGCUUUCCCAGAAUCUGCACGAAGGAAUUUCCCCCAAACCAGGAUCAUGUUGAAUAUCCACAAGGAGACACAUGAGGGCCUGAUGAGCUUCUGGACUUUGACUUUGGCCAACCUAGAGUUGCUGGGACUAACGGUGACAGCCUGAAAAGCACUCAGGAGGAAGGUGGUCCCAAUGGAGAGGCCCCGGCUGACCCUUUGGACGUAAAAGACCAUUUUACAGCCUAGGUUUCCCAAUCGCUGCAGGUUGUUCAGGAUCACUGCAUUGACCCUAAUGGAGAAGUCCAUUAUGUUCUCUUGUACCACAAUGUAUCCGUCUCUGUACCAUG
Monodelphis domestica (gray short-tailed opossum) is the source of this 564-nucleotide non-coding RNA. The record is from RefSeq and is a predicted model, not a curated record. Lineage: Eukaryota; Metazoa; Chordata; Mammalia; Didelphimorphia; Didelphidae.